CAGCAAUUAGGCCGGCCUCAUCGGUCAGAAUUUCAAUAUGAUUCAAAUUUUGUUUUUGAAAAUGUUGUUGCAGUUCGGCAACUUUAUUUGCUGG
Molecule: transfer RNA, 94 nt
Filed under: compost metagenome
Description: tRNA-Ile
Source: RNAcentral